GCGCUCUAAGUUCAGUUUCGGUAGAACGUGGGUCUCCAAAAACCCCGGAUGUCGUAAGGUUCAAAAUCCUACAGAGCGUG
Molecule: non-coding RNA, 80 nt
Organism: Nicotiana attenuata
Lineage: Eukaryota; Viridiplantae; Streptophyta; Magnoliopsida; Solanales; Solanaceae
Source: Rfam